CGCACGGGUGAGUAACACGUAUCCAACCUGCCGUCUACUCUUGGACAGCCCUCUGAAAGGAAGAUUAAUACAAGAUGGCAUCAUGAGUCCACAUGUUCACAUGAUUAAAGGUAUUCCGGUAGACGAUGGGGAUGCGUUCCAUUAGAUAGUAGGCGGGGUAACGGCCCACCUAGUCUUCGAUGGAUAGGGGUUCUGAGAGGAAGGUCCCCCACAUUGGAACUGAGACACGGUCCAA
RNAcentral lists this ribosomal RNA (235 nucleotides) under uncultured bacterium. RNAcentral describes it as "partial 16S ribosomal RNA". It matches the Rfam family "Bacterial small subunit ribosomal RNA", at positions 99 to 334 of the family's 1533-position model. The record is from RNAcentral.